CUGGAAAUGGAGGCCCAGAGAAUUUUUCCCAAGAUCACACAGCAAGUCAACGGCAGAGCUGGGUUCCCAUGGAUCCAGGACUCCCUACUCCUGAUUCAUCAUUCAACACAUUUGUGUCCUGCUCUUUCCAUCACUUUCUUCUGCUCAGAUCCCAUGUCUCUGGGUCUGGUCAUGUCUCCAUGGAAAAUCACCGGGGUGGUGGAGCACGAAUGUGAUGCUUUCAGAAUCCUGGGCUCUUGAAGGUACCCCAGCGCCUUGUCUGAAGGAGGGGAAGAGCCUCAGCGGCCCCGUCACCCCGUAGCUUGGGGAGCUCUGUGUGGAGGUGGAUGAGUCCAGCUGUCCAGAGCUGGGGUCUCACAGACCUGGCUUUGACGCCCAGCUCUGCGCCUUGUUUGCCACGUUCCCAUGCCUAGUCACCCUGUUUUUACGGAUUUACCCAUUUUACGGAUGGGGAUAAUACUUAGCGCUCCUUCGUGGUGUUACUGUGAGGAUUAAAUGAAACGAUGAGCAGCACCUGGGCCGGAGGGAGCAGUCCAUGAAUGUUAACAUCCUUUUUUUCUUUCAGUUGAAUUGAGAUGUAAUGACGUACAGCACUGUGUAAGUUUAAGGUGUACAGCAUAAUAACUUGACUGACAUAUAUUGUGAAAUGAUUACCACAAUAAGUUUAGUUAAUGUCCAUCAUCUCACAUAAAUAGAAAAAGAAAAAGAAAAAAAUGUUUUUCCCUUGUGAUGAGAACUUUUAGAAUCUGGUCUCUUAGCAACGUUUGAAUAUACCAUACAACAGUGUUAACUGUAGUCAUCUUGCUGGACAUUUUAACAUCCUUAUUAUUAGAUUUAUUACUAUUUUUAGAAACAGAGCUCCAAAUUGGAGUUCGUGUGGGAUAAUGCGUGUUCUGUAUUAGCUCUGGCCAAUGGAAGUUGAGCCACAGGUAAUUCUAAAUUUUUCAGUAGCCACGUUAAAAAAAAGUAAAACUAAACUGGUGAAAUUAACCUUAAUAGUAUACUUUGUUGAACCCCAUAUAUCUAAAAAAUUAUCAUUUCAAUGUGGACACAGGAAAACAAAUUAUUAAGGAGAUAGUAGGCAUUCUGUUUUUGUCCUCAGUCUUUGAAUUGGUGCGCAUUUCACACGGCGCAUCUCGAGUCAGACUAGACACAUUCCAAGUGCUCAAUAGCCACGCGUGGCCAGUGGUGCCACAUGGGACCGCACAUCCCAUGUGGUUUCCCAGCGUCCCCUGUGCAAUUGUCCCCAACUGCCCAUAGUGGGUGACACGCUGUGACACACCCUUUGCUGACCUGCUUCCUUUCCCUGCCUCAGUCCCCACUUCCCUGCUGGCAUUUCCUGGCCUCACCUCCCAAAUAAACAGUUUGCCCUCAAAGCCUUGUUCCAGGGUCCGCUUCUGGGAGAACGUGGCCCCAAACAGGUGCUCCUUUCAUCCUCCCACCACUUCAGUGAAGCUGGGAAGAAAAAGGAGCUUUUUUUCCCAUUAUGUAGACGGUACACUGGGGUUCAGAGAGGGCCUGAGACUUGCCAACAGUCCCCAGCAGGCCUGUGGCAGAACCAGGUGCAGAAGGAAGUGUUCUCCCACCCCUGCUUCCACCCACCCUGGACUUUUAUUUUUUAAACCAAGAGAAGGGCAUUCCCAUGAUGGUAGGGAAAUGUGUCUGUUUCCUGCCCCAUGCUCACCUUGGUACCUUGCAGGAUAGACAGUUCCGCCUUCCCGCGUGCAGCCAGCCCUGGCUUGCCCUGCCCCACGGUGAGAUCCUGGGGAGGCUGUGGACACAGCUUGAGAGCCUGAGGGCCCACGGCGGCCAGGGGGAAAUGGGCUCCCUCGAAGGGCAUGAUGGGAAGAAUGCCCCUGGGUCCCCCCAGCCUCAUAUAUCCAGCAAGAGGAGCAGACCAGAUCUCCUGGAAGGGGGAAAAAGAAAAGAAAAAAAAUCUCCCAUCUGUUGAGUAUUAACCUAUGAACCAUUUAACCAAACAUUGGCUUCUCUUGUCAUUUGAUAAGGUGUAUCCAGCAAAGGGAGAUGAGAAAAUUGGGAGGUUAUUCUUUUAAAUUACAUCAGCAGGGGGUUUGUUCCUGCCGCAGAGCUCGGAGGGUCCCGUCUGGGCCAUCACAUCACCAGCAGCACACUCAAGGACAGAUUUGAGAGCUUUCCUCUGCCUGGGCGUUCAAGCAUUCACAGGGAUAUAAAAAAAAGCAAGAGGGAUUUGAAAAUAAAGCCCGUGCGCGGCAGGCUGUCUGCCCUGAGCCAGCGCCGCAGCGACGGUGAUUAUGGAGGAAGGAAUGGUUUGUGUCACCGUCACAGAGAAAUGUCCGACAGCUUUUCUGCAGAGACAACACCUCUCAGUCUUCCAGAGACUCUGUGUGCAGACUUCCGGAGCUGUCGGGGACCUCCGAGGCCAUCCUGCCCACCCCAGCCCCCCUGGAGUAGAGUUUCUUUGCGGGAUGGGCCAGCAAGCAGUCUAGACAGAUAGGGUCCUCUAGGGCCGGCCAGCCAGCCAGCUUCCGCUGGCAGAUCUGACCAGUUGAGAGGACAUCAGGCCCUGGACAGAAGGGUGGGAGCCCAGGCUUUGGCUGCUGUCUCUGGUCCCGCCUUCCCUCCUGUCCCUCUCCUGACCUCUAACUGACGGGAGCAGGUGAUCCCCCAGGCCCCACCCAGGCCUCCGGGGAAGUGAACUGAGCACUGGAGGGAGUCAGGAGUCUGUCAUGAAUGCCUUGUAUGACUUUGAACUAGUUCCUUCUCUUUGGGCCUCAGUUUCCCCAUGAGUUAAAGGAGCUGCAUGAGAUGGUCUCCAAGAUCCUGUCAGCUCUGCUCAUGGUGGCGUUUGCUCAUAGGAUUCCUCUAACAGGCAGGAAACACACGUUUUCUGCUUCUCCCAGUGACUCACGGCCCAUUUGUCAGAAGUCUUCUCUGCUGUCUUUUCCAGACCUGGCUCACUGAAUCCUCCCUCCUUUUCUCCGGCCUUUUCUUGGUUGCCAGAGCCAAUGAGGUCUCACCUCAUCCUCCCCUGGACUCACUAGUCUUGGCUCUCACAUCUCACUUCUUCCUUGGGGAAGAGAAAGGCAAUCCACUCCCCCUGAGCACUGACUACACCCAGGCCCUGGGCUGGGCUCUUUCACGCAUGUCAACUCGUUUAAUCUUCAUAGCAGCUCAGAGCCAGAGAGGAGUCUCAUUUCAGAUGAGGAAACUGAGGCUUAGAAAACUUGGCUUGACUGAGUGCCCACACCAGGAAGAGGUGGAGUCAGGAUUCGGACCAGAUCAGUUUGACUCUAAAGGCCAGAUUCUUUCCGCUAUAUAACGCCUUCCUGUGUCACUUGGCCAUCUCCUUCUUCCUGGGUGAGGCCCCAGGCUCCUUGAGGACAGGGGAGGCAGAAUGGCAGAGCAGACAAAGCAUGGAAGCUUGCUCCAAAGACUUGACUCCUUGGCAGACAGGGAAGAGGAAGACAAGUGCUCAAAUCUCAGAAACUGGCUGAGACAUGAGAGUAAUGAACUUGAGCCCAAGCCUCCACCGCAUGUGAGUUUACACCAAUUCCAUUCCCCAUCUCAGCUCAUGCCCAGUUUCGUUGACCAGCCUGGCUCGCCCGAGAGGGCUCUAUAAUGAGUGCCACGCAACAGCCCAAAUGCUGAAAAGCAAGGUGCCAUCCUUUCCAACACAGAGUAGGAGUGUGACCUUGGACGAGUUCCUCCAACUUCUGUUUCCUCCUCUGCAUAAUGGGCGUGAGAUCUCCCUCCACCUCACAGGCAGCAACAGUGAAAAGCCUCCACUGGCUCACUGGUAAAGGCAUCCUCACCGUUUUUCUUCCUCUCUCAUGCCCAUCCCGUGUCACCUGUAGCACAUGCCUGGCAGAUAUAUGUUGGAUGAAUGCUAGUCACCAACCUUGGACAGCCCUUUCAAGUUGACUGAAUAUUUCCACACUUCCUGUUCCUGUUCCUGCAGACCUUUCAGAAGGCAGGGCUGUCCUUGCUCUUGGCCCUAGUUUACAGAUGAAGAAACUGAGGCCCGUCUUUUAUGGAUCCCUGCCGGCUGAGGAGUGGGGGAGCUUUUCCCUAACAGCUCUCUGUCUUCUUGUCAUUUGGACAGAAAAGGCCUGUGAGGGCAGCUUUGUGGCCAGCUGUGGCCCAGAUGUGGAGGCCUGGCUGGCCACAAAGGAGGUGGGUGGGUGGGAACAUCCUCCCAUUUCCUCCCUUGAAGACAAAUGGCUCAGGGGCCACUGGAGGCUCUGCAGGCUGUGGCUGGACUGGGAGCCUCCCUGGAGCCUCCGUGAGGCAGGAGCUGUGCUCAUCUUGAAAACAGUUCCUCCAUGUGGGUGGCUCCUUGGAGGGUGACAUCAGAGGGCAGGGGCUCUGUAAGCUGCCUCCCCGUCCCUUCUCAGCAUGACUCUCUAAAUAGUUGUGUUCAGGCCCCGGGUCCUAAGGACCCUCAUCCCGGUCUAGGCAAAGCCAGGCAGGCUAAAAGACGGAGCCAUCUGGACCAGCAUUUUGUUUGUUUGGGUUUUUUUGGGGGGGCUAGCAUUUUGAGUUCUCUCCUAUGGCUUUGGAGUGAAUAGACACACACAGAAAACAUACACACAAUGCACACACUCAUGCACCCAUACACAUGUUCACACCUACACACACUCAUGCACGAGUGUGUAUGCACACGCACGGACAUUCACACCUCCCAGGAGCAACUGUGGCUCCCUCCAGCCCCUAGAGCUCCCUUAAGCCCCUCGGGGGAGGAGGGAAGGAAGUUGGGUGUCGUAUAUCAUUUCUCUCUGAACAGGCAGUGUCCUCUUGGCCCAAAGCAGGGGUGGGGGUGGGCGGCAGCCG
Long non-coding RNA from Equus asinus (donkey), 4812 nucleotides. Lineage: Eukaryota; Metazoa; Chordata; Mammalia; Perissodactyla; Equidae. The record is from Ensembl.